UGGGGAAUUUUGGACAAUGGGCGAAAGCCUGAUCCAGCAAUGCCGCGUGUGUGAAGAAGGCCUUCGGGUUGUAAAGCACUUUUGUCCGGAAAGAAAUCCUUGGCUCUAAUACAGUCGGGGGAUGACGGUACCGGAAGAAUAAGCACCGGCUAACUACGUGCCAGCAGCCGCGGUAAUACGUAGGGUGCAAGCGUUAAUCGGAAUUACUGGGCGUAAAGCGUGCGCAGGCGGUUUGCUAAGACCGACGUGAAAUCCCCGGGCUCAACCUGGGAACUGCAUUGGUGACUGGCAGGCUAGAGUAUGGCAGAGGGGGGUAGAAUUCCACGUGUAGCAGUGAAANGCGGUAGAGAUGUGGAGGAAUACCGAUGGCGAAGGCAGCCCCCUGGGCCAAUACUGACGCUCAUGCACG
Molecule: ribosomal RNA, 409 nt
Filed under: uncultured bacterium
Lineage: Bacteria
Description: partial 16S ribosomal RNA
Rfam family: Bacterial small subunit ribosomal RNA
Source: RNAcentral